Molecule: ribosomal RNA, 253 nt
Filed under: uncultured bacterium
Lineage: Bacteria
Description: partial 16S ribosomal RNA
Rfam family: Bacterial small subunit ribosomal RNA
Source: RNAcentral
UACGUAGGGGGCAAGCGUUGUCCGGAUUUAUUGGGCGUAAAGCGCUCGCAGGCGGCUUGCUACGUCGUGCGUGAAACACCCCGGCUCAACUGGGGAGGGUCGUGCGAUACGGGCAGGCUGGAGGCCAGUAGGGGGAUGCGGAAUUCCGGGUGUAGUGGUGGAAUGCGUAGAGAUCCGGAAGAACACCGGAGGCGAAGGCGGCUUGCUGGGCGUGAUCUGACGCUGAGGCGCGAAAGCGUGGGGAGCGAACAGG